RNAcentral lists this ribosomal RNA (448 nucleotides) under uncultured bacterium. RNAcentral's name for it is "SSU rRNA". It matches the Rfam family "Bacterial small subunit ribosomal RNA", at positions 26 to 518 of the family's 1533-position model. The record is from RNAcentral.
AGAACGAACGCUGGCGGCAUGCCUAACACAUGCAAGUCGAACGCUUGUAGCAAUACAAGAGUGGCGCACGGGUGAGUAGCGCGUGGGAACCUGCCCUGGAGUGGGGGAUAACCGAGGGAAACUUCGGCUAAUACCGCAUACGACCUGAGGGUGAAAGAUUUAUCGCUCUAGGAGGGGCCCGCGUCGGAUUAGCUAGUUGGUGGGGUAACGGCCUACCAAGGCUACGAUCCGUAGCUGGUCUGAGAGGAUGGCCAGCCACACUGGGACUGAGACACGGCCCAGACUCCUACGGGAGGCAGCAGUGGGGAAUAUUGGACAAUGGGGGCAACCCUGAUCCAGCAAUGCCGCGUGAGUGAUGAAGGCCUUAGGGUUGUAAAGCUCUUUCGGCGGGGACGAUGAUGACGGUACCCGCAGAAGAAGCCCCGGCUAACUUCGUGCCAGCAGCCGC